AAAUCUGUCAACCUCCUCCUGCCGCAGCUGUUCAGAUUAUAGAGCAAAGGGCAGCCGUCAACAUGAGCAGGGAGAGCCCAGAAGUUACAUACCCACGCAAACAGAGCACAGAGAGCGGCAGAGGAAAGAAAAUGCUCACAGCUUAUUUUUAAUGCCAGAAAUGUAAGAGUAUCUUUGUUACUAUCACUAAACACAGGCUUUGAUUCCUUGUUUCCAUAACUUGUGAUUGGAAAUUCACUGUCAAGAAGGAAGAUAAUUAUGGAAGAAACCAAGGCAACAUGUGCUAUGGGCUAUUUUAGAGCUCUGUACAAAAUAUGUUGAGAAAAUCCUCAAAAUUUGAGGUAGACUAUGAAAGAAGCACAUCUCUGAGCAUGACAGAGGGUGAAAAAUCUGACACCUAAAGAAAUUGUUAUAUGCUCAAUGGCACACAGCUAGGAAGUUAGAAAACGGAAAUUUGAACCCCACACAUCUUGCUCCAGAAUUUGUACUAAACCCCAACCUGCAUCUGCUCACCCUGCUCCUGAGCUAGUCAUGGAUCCACUCUGAGAAAGCACUGUCAGAGAUCACUGAAAAUACAACAGGCCAUCUCAGAUCAGGCCGAAUUCACUGCCUCUGGAGAUAUUAAAGAAAAGAUCGAAGGACUUCUUAUGAAGGAGUUUUAUGAGAGGCACAAACAUUGGAGAUAUCAAAUGCAACUGUAAAGUCCUUCCAAACAGGAGAUUGCAAAAAAGAUGAGACAGCCUCUUUCGAAUGAGAAGAUAACAAGAGUCUUUAUUCAUGAAUUUUUUGGGGGAAUAGACCAACUGGCUGGUAGGAAAAACUCAUGGAGAAGAGUAGUUUCAAGUAAUGCUGAAAAGGUAGGCUGGAAUCAGAAGAGAAUGGGAAGGAAGUAGACACUCUGUUAAUGUUCUCAUAAAUUAUGUAAAAAGUAAUCAUUCCUGGUUACUUAUAAAUAUGUAUAUAAUUGCAAAAGAGCCUAUAAAUCAAGAUUCUUAGUUUAAACAUUACGACUAGUAAAUUCAUAUGACUCAAAGAUUCAAAAGGCAAACGGCAUCUCGCUCAAAUCACAGUGUUUGCUUACGGUGACAAAGAGUUUAUGUACUUAGAUCUUCCGGAGAAUGGGUGCAUCUCAGAAGUUCAAGAACAAUUUGUUCAGGAUGGCGAGAGAUAGCUAUCCAAAACCUUCUUUACACCUGGAUUCCCUCCUGUUUCCACGCUGUCAUAGCCGGACUUCUACAGUUAUCCUUAAUCAUGGGCAGUGAGUCGUACCUUGUAGGAGCAAAAUAAAUAUUUGCUGAAUAAAUCCUCAGAGCUGCUAUUAAAAAUAGGAAACACUGGAGACAAAGAAGCAAUCAAGAAAAUAAAGUAACCUCAGCUGUGGAAAUAGAGAACCUGUAUGAUAUUCCUGCUUGUCUCCUCAUAAUUUCUCCAAAGGCACGAAGAUUUUGUUUCUCUGUACUGAAGCUGAAAAACAAUAUACUUUAGGGUGUAUCUGAUUUUAUAGAAAUAAUUCUAAACAAUGUUUUGCUUUACUUCACAGAAAAUGCAGUACUUAAAGCCACUGGUAAAUAUUUAUUCUUUUCUCUAAGUGCCUGGGAGAAUUUGCUGAAGUUUUUAAUGUAAAUCUACCUGAUAACCUUGGUUUAUACUCCAGGAGGCUUUGCCUAAAGCAAGGUUAGGCAACUAGACCUACAGAGCAAUCGAAUGGAGGGAAAUUCUGAGAAAUCGGCCACAGAAACAAAUUAAGAGCUGAAAUGUGCCAAUAAGGACCCAAGGCCCCUGUUCUCUGGUGGUAACCAGCCCCUUUAUAAUAAGUAACCGUCUACUGGUCUCUUAUUAUACCCUGAGUAUGGUUCCUAGGAAAGUGGGCCAGGAUCCUUUUAACUAUCAGAUUUUCCAUUUAUUUCAGAAAAGAUCCAUUUUUUUUUAUGUGAUUCAAUUGGGUUGUUGGGUUAUUGCCCUUUAUGCUCUUAUAGAAAGAAUAUAUUCUUGUGUCUACUUCUAUUAUCCAUGUCCUUGAUCUUCAAUUAUAAAACCUGUGCUUCUUUUAGGAUCCUCCUGAGAUGACUAGCUUAACUGAAUCAAUGAGAAAUGAACUCUUAUCAUCAGAUACCCUAACACAAUUGAGCUAACAGAAAUCAAAAUAGACAAAGGAAUUAUGAAAGAUACAUUGCCAGUACUGUAUCCAAUAGGUUGAUAUGUAUUAAAAUAGGCUACUAGACUUUCUUGUAUUUGACAGUCUUGAAAGUGAAUUGCUUUUGAAAUUAUUAAAGGGAAAAUGUGAAUAUCUUUUUUAGUGUUAUCAAUCCCACAAAAAUUUCUGAUGAGCACUUCCAAGACAUUUUCACACAACAGUCUUUGCCUGAAGUUUGUAAACCUUUGGUUAAGGAAAAUAACACAUUUUAAGCGUAAGUUCUUUUGGCAUUGUGAUGGAAGACCAGGAAUAUAAAACACUCUGAUAUAGCAAAAACAGAGCUAAGCAGAUGCCAUGCACACGCAGGACUCCUGACAGCCAAGGGAAGCUAUGUGGGGACAAGCUACAGUCAUAGCUGUUCUUUCCCUUGCUUAGUGGUCUCACUUCUGAUAAAAUGUAGAAUCUUCGAGUAACUAAAUCAAGCCCCUAAUGUCACCAAGAGAGCUUGUUACUGGCAUUAGCAGCGGCAUUGACCCUGUAAGUAUGCAAUUGCUGAGCUUCCCCUUGACAACCAGUUCCUCAAAGGCUCUUUGCAGGAUAAUGUAAGCAUGUAAAUAGGAAGAGCAGCAAGGCUUGCCCAGUACUUAGUAAUAUAAAUAUGACAAUUCCUGUUGCUAUUUUUGACUCUUGCAGAAUUACAAUGGAAACAAGGCUGCUUGGGAAGAGUUAUGGCUUUAGUGUGCUUAGUUUUGGGGUGAAAAUAGAGAUAAGGGUUGGUGCAGUUAAAAAUAAAUUAUUCUGUUGCCAUGGUUUUCUUCUUUAUAAAUUCUUUUCAACAUGAAUUGCUGUUGUUGUGUUUAAUUUUAGAUUCAUGCAGAUUGUCGACAAAUAAGAAUUCCUAUACAUCUGAGAAAUGUUUUAUUAAAAAAAAAAAACUGUAGGAAAGGAUUUUGGCAGUCUGGUUUAAACAUUUCUAAGCAAAAUAACCUGCAGGGUUCUGGCUUUUAGACAACUACCAAAAGAAAGUGAAUAAACAGAAUGAGAACUUAGAGAACGUGGAAGACUACAUUUAAUCUUCUGUUUAAAACAUAAUAUUAGGUAUUAUUGCAAUAUUUAAGGGUAUGUGAGUUUUGAGGACUGCUUCCCAGAGCCAUAAGAAACUAUCCUUCCUAUAGAAUAACUCUUUGACAGAGUAUCCAUGAAAUAUUUUAGGUACCAAAUGAUAAUUUAGGUAAAUACGCAUUGACUAAUAUCAAAGGUUCAAAUUGUGUUUUCAAAAUCUGUCAUAUUACCUCAAAUACAAUUUAAUUUUCUUGAA
Tupaia belangeri chinensis (Chinese tree shrew) is the source of this 3452-nucleotide long non-coding RNA. RefSeq lists it as uncharacterized. The transcript has 6 exons. NCBI's taxonomy places the organism in Eukaryota, Metazoa, Chordata, Mammalia, Scandentia, Tupaiidae. The record is from RefSeq and is a predicted model, not a curated record.